This 478-nucleotide ribosomal RNA is filed under the name uncultured bacterium. RNAcentral describes it as "partial 16S ribosomal RNA". It matches the Rfam family "Bacterial small subunit ribosomal RNA", at positions 28 to 523 of the family's 1533-position model. The record is from RNAcentral.
GACGAACGCUGGCGGCGUGCUUAACACAUGCAAGUCGAACGGUAAGGCCCUUCGGGGUACACGAGUGGCGAACGGGUGAGUAACACGUGGGUGAUCUGCCCUGCACUUCGGGAUAAGCCUGGGAAACUGGGUCUAAUACCGGAUAGGACUCCGGACUGCAUGGUCUGGGGUGGAAAGCUUUUGCGGUGUGGGAUGGGCCCGCGGCCUAUCAGCUUAUUGGUGGGGUGAUGGCCUACCAAGGCGACGACGGGUAGCCGGCCUGUGAGGGUGACCGGCCACACUGGGGAUGAGAUACGGCCCAGACGCCUACGGGAGGCAGCAGUGGGGAAGAUUGCACAAUGGGCGCAAGCCUGAUGCAGCGACGCCGCGUGAGGGAUGACGGCCUUCGGGUUGUAAACCUCUUUCAGCAUCGACGAAGCGAAAGUGACGGUAGGUGCAGAAGAAGGACCGGCCAACUACGUGCCAGCAGCCGCGGUAA